AAAGGUUUCGGAUACAACGUACGGUGGAUACUUAUCUUCCCGAUACUUAUCUUUCUUUCCCUCUCACCGCCCCUGUCUAGCCUAUUCCGUUGCCGCUGCUCCCGGCAGAUCCGUCGCCGCCUCCACCUGCAAGUUGCUCGACGGCGGCACAUCUGUCGACGCCUCUACCUGCGAGUCCUCCCUGCAGAUCCGUCGCCGCUCCUACCUACACCUUCGUCGCCACCUCCCCUGCGAGUUGCUCGACGGCGGCAUAGGUGAGUUCUUUCUGCAAGCACCUCCUCCCUGCAGUCUGCAGAUCCAUCAUCGUGGAUGCUCCUUCCUGCACCUCCAUCCCAGGGAGAUGCUCCUACCUGCACCUCCGUCGCCGCCACCACCUCCCAUGCGAGUCUUCUCUCCGGUGAGCCCACCUCCUCCCGGACUAGUGCACCUCGCCCCUAACCUCACACUUUCCUUUCCCUCCCCUCCCCCCACACCCACGCUGCUGCCAGGGGCGGAUCUACACCGAGGGCUACCUGGGCUGUAGCCCUGGUCAUGGCUCAACUAUCAUCUAUAAUCCCACAAGCUAGUAAAUCACUAAAAAAUAUUAGGAUCUAGGCAGCUUUAGCCCUAGACUUUUAUCCAAAUUGACAAGGGCUAGCUAGUAUUAGCAUCUGUUAGUGUGAUUAGGUAUAUGGCAAGACAGAUUUGCCUUAUCUUGUACCCGUGUAGGUACCUCGCAUAGGCUAGCUUAGAGAUCAAGUGAGAGUGAUUAUAAUUUCCUGUAAUCAUGCGUCUGCAUACAAAGUAGUUACGAUUUCUUGCCAAUAAAAUUUAGCCCCGGUCUUGGCCAAAUCGUGGGUCUGCCACUGGCUGCUGGCGCAGAUCCCUUCCCUCCAGCAUCGAUCCCCUUUUGUACGGCUUGUGCUAAUUGGUGUGUUUUGUGUUCUAGAUGGAGAAACUAAACUUUUUUAUGUAUGUGGUUAACUUGCAUGUGCGGUUGAUUGAGAAAUUUUGAUCAGAAAUUUCCAUAUAUAUGUUCUUCAUGGAUAAAUAUUGGUUCUUGGAUGGAGAUUUCAUUGGUAUAUCAGUUCAAAUAUGUUGACAUAUCAUUGAAAAUUAUUACUAUAUCAUUGAAAUUUAUUGGUAUAGAAAAUAUCAUUAUGUCAAUUGUAUACCAUUGGGUUGAUACCACGCGAUUCUAAAGUUUUUUAGCUUUCUAAUCCAGGGGUAUGUUGCAUUGGUAUUGAUACUGAUAUUUUCUUGAUAGUGAUUUUUUUAUGGAAAGAUUGUAAGGGAACCCUACAACAUAAUUAUGAAAACCAGAAUUUGAACCCUGGUGGAUUCAUGUACCCACAAUUCCACCACCACACCAAGAUGUGUUUCUCAGUUUCUUGGUAGUGAAAUUGUGUGUUUGAUGGAGAUUUUAUUGGUAUUUCAUUGAAAUUUAUUGAUAUAGCAAUGAAAUUUCAAUUAACAAAUUGUUAUUACAUUGAUAUUUCAUUAGCAUUUCGUCGAUAUAUCACUGGAAUUUCAUGAAUAAAUUAUUACGUUGAUAUGUCGAUGAAAUUUCAAUAUUAUUGAUAUUUCACUGUUUUAAUGAAAUAGUAAUCAAUGGUAUUGAAAUAGUAAUAAUAUCCCAGUGAAACAACAAUGGUAUUGAAAUUUUGGUAUUCAACACUACACGUGGGUGGGACCCAGAUUAGGGAAUACAAAAUGAAUAAGUUCCUGGUCCUAUUGAAUACCGAGGGAAUACAUGAGAGGUACACCUGUGCUUUAUUACGUGUCAGGAGCAAACUGGAGGAUGAGACGCCGGUACAGCUGGAAACAACUUUGCGAUUUCUCUGUGCAUGUCAAGUCAUCGAUCAUUUUUAUGGUCUGCAACCACCACAAUAUAUGCAAACACUAUUGAUACGAUAUUGUAUUAGUAUUGACGCAUACUGUUAACCUUCAGAAUUAACUCGGCUGAAUGCUCAGUAUCGAGUGUCGACACAUCAUGCAGGUCAACUCGUUGAACAGGUUUUCCUUUGCACACACACGACCCUUUGUGCUCCAUGCCCUCCUAGCUUAGCUAGCAAGGCAGUGUGGCACAUCUUCUAUUUCAAAUUAGCCGACGCGCGUUUUAAUUUGACAUGGUCAUAAUUUUCAAAAAAAGAAAAUUGAAAAUAUACAUCAUUUUACUUUUGGCUUGGCUUAAUUUUACUGUCUAAGGCUCAGUUUUUUUGGAGCCUUCUCCAGAAGCUGCCCUCCAAAUUGUGUUAGGCUUACAGACUUAUUUAUGCUACACUAGUUGGAAAUUCUAACCAAAUUUUAUUGGUCGGUUUUUCCAGGAUUCUCAGAGAAGCCCCGAAACGAACUGAGCCUAAUUAACUGCACGAAUUCUGAGUUCUGGCCAUAACUUUUUGUACUGAUAUUGUGUUAAUGGUUACAAAAAUGACAGUCAAAGUGCUUUUGAAAACGAAUAUGUAUCAAUUUUGUGUAUUAUGGUUUUUCUUUUUCUCAAAUUAAUCUUGACGUAAACAGCACAAGAUUAUCUAGUCGUCAACACCUCCUCCUCGAUCUAUCGUUGGGAAUUAGCUGACGUCUCGACUUAUACAUUCUCACAUCGCAUGGCGGGCUCGGCUGCGGCGGCGGCCUUGAAGUUCACGGUGCGCCGGAAGCCUGCGGAGCUGGUGUCGCCGGCAGGGCCGACGCCGCAGGAGCUGAAGCGGAUCUCGGAAAUCGAUGACCACGACGGCCUGCGCUUCCAUGUCCCCGUAAUAUACUUGUAACUUCUUCCGUCGGCGCGACGCGGGCUGGCGGGACGACGACCCCGCCGCGGUGCUGGCGAGACGCCGUACGUGGCCUGCAGGGCGUUGGUGCAUUACUACCCGUUCGCAGGCCGGCUGAGGGAGCUCGAUGGACGCAAGCUCGCCGUGGACUGCACCGGCGAGGGCGUGCUGUUCACGGAGGCCGACGGCGACGUCCGCCUCGACCAGUCCGGCGACGACCCGCAGCCGCCGUUCCCGUGCCUCGACGAGCUCAUUUUCGACGUCCUCGGCUCCUCCGCCCUCCUCGACGACCCUCUCCUCCUCUUCUAGGUGACACGGCCGGCAUGCGGAGGCUUCGCGUUUGGUGUGCGGAUGCAGCACGCGAUGGCGGACGCGCCGGGGCUGGUGCAGUUCCUGGGCGCCGUAGCAGAGCAGGCGCGCGGCGGAGCCGACGGUGCGUCCGGUUUGGGGCCGCGAGCUCCUGGAGGCGCGCGACAACAAUGUCCAAGGCCGGGUUUCGCGAUCUCGACUUCGGGUGGGGUGGUCGGCCGGUGUACGCUGGCCCGGCGAAAGGCGGCGUCGGCGCCAUCCCGGGGUUGCCAGCUUCUUCAUCGCCUGUGAGAAUGCAAAGGCGAGGACGGCGUCCUGGUGCCCAUAUGCCUGCCCGGCCCCGCCAUGGACAAGUUCGUGGCGUAGAUGGAGAAGCUGCUGCGGCCGGCAGUCGCCGUCAAGCCCGUGCCCGUGCCGCCGCAGGAAAAACCCGACAUGUUUCUCAUGAUGAAAUCUGCGCUCUGAAACGCUUUAAGUUCAGAGUCUGUAUCGGCGUCGACAAAUCCCCAUACUGAUCUGUACUCUCUUUUCCGUUCCGUGUGCAAUACUUGUUACAGGCCUGA
RNA transcript from Brachypodium distachyon (stiff brome), 3619 nucleotides. It is a transcript of the gene named benzyl alcohol O-benzoyltransferase-like, with no coding region annotated. The record is from RefSeq and is a predicted model, not a curated record. The transcript has a single exon. NCBI's taxonomy places the organism in Eukaryota, Viridiplantae, Streptophyta, Magnoliopsida, Poales, Poaceae.